UAUAUAUACACAUUGGUUGCAUGUGCCAAAGUCAGAUGCUCUCUCAAUCGAAAUCUAAAAAAUCCAAUCAAAAAAUUCUCUCCGAUUCUCGAAAUUCUCUGUUUCCCCGAAUUCAAACCGUAGUUCUUCGUUCGAACAUUCGAAGAUCUAUUGCAAUUUAAUAGUUGUUGUUGAUCAUUGAUUGCGUGAAAGGGCUUCGAGAAUGUUCAACGGAAUGAUGGAUCCUGAAUUGAUGAGACUCACCCAAGAGCAGAUGAGUCGCAUGUCGCUCGCUGAGAUGGCCAGGAUUCAACAACAGGUCACCCUCUUUUGACCUCCUUUCUCUGUAUUCGAUUCAAUUAUGGUUGUAGAUUCAAGAGUUUGGGAAAACCGAUGUGCAAUUGAAUCUAAUUUUGAUAAAUUAAAUGUCUGAUGUUUUUGGGUUUGUUAAUAUUUGUUAUAAUUUGGAUAUAUAUAGUUUUUUUUUUUGGUUUAUUUGGUUGUUGUUCAAGUUAGAUGUGAAAUUGGUUCAAAUUGAAUGAGUAAAAUCAUGAAUACUAUCUUUCUUUUCCCUUUUUAGCGUUUCAUAUUGUAAACGAGUUGAGUCGAUUCAAGUCGAGCGAGUAGUAGGUUGUCAAAGCUUGGUUUGAAAACUCAACGGGCAUGAAAAUAUGUUCAAGCUUAAUUUGUUUACCAUUAUAAUCGAUUUGGUUCAAAUAGCUUAUUUUUUUCAUAGUGCAUAUAAUGGAGUAGAUUGAUCAAGUUGUCACCAUAUUAUUUUUUUUUCAUAGGAAGACUCAUUUUAUGCAAUUCUUGCCUCUUUGGUACUGCAUACUUACGAUAAUACAAUGCCCAAUUUUGCUUACCCCUUUCGUCAUGGCUUACCAUUAUCAUGAAUACCCCACAUUGACUUGAUUUAUCUUGUUUAUCCCUAAAUUACGGAUAUAAAGCUGUCAGAACACUUGAAAAAUUAAAGAUGUAAACAAAAGCUCUACUAGUUGAUACGGUGGUCACUUUAUACCAUGAUUGUCAUUAUAUGUCUUGCAUUAUUGCCAACAUUGCAAAUUUGACUAAUUGAUUAGGUUUAAACUGCUGAAAGAGUUGCUUAUUAGAAAAUUACUUCUGCCUGCAAAUACAUACAUGACGAAAACCAGGAAAAAAAAACUCAGUGUCAGCUAUGGUUAGGUAGUUUAUUUAUUGAUAUUUAACCAAUGCAUAUGGUAAUCUAGCCUGAAAAAGGCAUUUCAAAAUUCGCUUUAAAGCCUCAAAAUGCAUCUCAAUUAACUAGACAAGGUUUGUUGAGGAAAUACCAGUCAGUGAUUGCAAACAUUAGGUGCAAAUAUUGAGAAGCUUGAAGUUAUUCAUGUAGGUUUUCCUUGUUCUUGCCACUAUACCUGCACCAAAUUCCUUCAAGAAUAUUAUAGAGAGUUAAUAGCGUUAGUAUAACACACAUUUUCAGGCUCACAGCACUCAACCCACUAUAUCUGAACUCACAUCCCUCACUCUUGGUAAGCAUCCUUCUGUACCUGCAGCUGUAACAGAUAUAGAUAUAAAGAUUAGUACACCUCCCUGUAGAGCCUCUCAUCACACAACCCUCAAUUGGUAACUCACCAACACUCAACACUCCGAAAGCUACACUCCACUCAAUUUUAGAAUGGUGGCUGGGAGCCUCCAUUCUUGCUGAAACCAAUCAUCAGUGGGUGAAUUCUUGAUGUCUUUCAAGGCCAGACACUUGUAUCUAACCAUGCAUAUGAUACUCUGAAGGACAACCUCUUCAGGCUUCCUUUCUUUAUUGAACACCCUGUUAUUUAUUUCCAACCAGAUUUGAUAAACAGUGCAGCAGAAGCCAAGUUUCUUAAUAAUGGUAGAUAGAGAUUUACCCUUGCAAUCUCUAGCCACCAUACCCACCCAAUCAUUCCAGCUAUUACAAGUCCAGUUCACAUUGCAUUUCCCAAGGAUAGCAGCCCAAAUUUUAGAGGAAAAAGGGCAUUGAAAAAACAAAUGGUUAUGAUCUUCCCCAAUCUGCCCACACAGAGGGCAUGUGGGGGCAAUGUUAAUGCCAAAUAUAGUAAGCCUAUCAGCCGUAUUGAGUCUACCAAGGAUAGCCAUCCACACAAUAAAGCUAACUUUAAGUAUGGAAUGAGGGCCCCAGAGUAAUCCAACACAUUGAUUCUUAGGUCACUUGGAAAGCCAUUGCUGCCAGGUAGACCCAAUACUAAACUUACCAUCCUUAUUAGGAACCGAAAUAACUUUGUCAACCCUCAACAGGGAAGGUGUCAAAUCAGGGGGAGUGGUAGAGAUGAUCUCUUGUACCUCCUAAGAGGAAUCAUUGGGCCACUGCCACCCACUAUCAGUCACAAUAGACCUCACUUUAGAAUUGCUAUCAAGAGCAGCAUCAUAAAUGAGCCUAUCCCCAUACUUAGACCACAGCGAAUCUAAUGGAUGCCAAUUGUCAUACCAGAGAAAGGUAUUCUCACUAGAGCCUAUCAAACGUUUGAUCAGAGGGUAUAUGAGGCUCCUACGAGAACAGUUUCCUCCAAACCCAUGAGGGAUCACUAGGGACUCUGACUCUCCAAAAACUAUAGCCUCUUAAAAGGUAGGAUUUAACCCAUUGACACUACAUGGAUUGCUCACCCCCCGAAACAAGGAACCAAAUGUGUUUAGACACAGCAGUUUUAUUCCAAAUUUCCAUAGACUUAAACCCAAGACCCCCUCACCUCUAGGGGCACACAACCUGUCCCAAGAAACCUUAGCCCCAGUCUUCUUAAGUUCAAGCCCAGACCACAAAAAGGAUCUAUACACGGCCUCAACCUCCUUAAUCACCUUUUUGGGAAUAAUAAAGAGAGAAGACCAGUAAACUUGCAUAGAGAAGAGGACAGAGCUGAUCAAUUGAGCUCUACCAGCAUAGGACAAAACUUUAUUAGUCCAAGACUUAAUCCUAUUGGUUAUCCUAGUGAUCAAACUAGUACAAUCAGCAGUUCUCAGCCUAGUGGUAAUCAAAGGGACACCUAAAGAGUGUCCCUACUUAAAGAUACAAUUGAAAGAAUGUGCAAGGAUAUGGAUCCUAAUAUGGAACCUGAUAUGGAUUAUGAUAUUUAGUUUUUGUUUUUUUUAGGUUUCUAUAUGGACAUAUGUUUUUAAUGCAUUACAUAGUUAUGUUAUAUUUUGUUGUGUCUCUUCAAGUGAAUAUUCUGCUUUAUAUUUUAUAUUUUAUAUCAAUUUAUGCUUUUUAGUUACCAAAAUGGCCAAAGGGGAGAAAGAAUGGAUCAAACCAAGUUUUCUAGCGAAACAGAAGCGAACACAGUACGGAAUGGAAAGAUAUAAGACAAUCAAGAAGAAUAAAAAGAAAAUGGAUGCUCUACAAUUGAAGCGUUUAGUAGCUUCUUUGAUGGGUUCUACUAAGCCCAAUCGUGUUAAUUAGAAGGGAAAGAACAUUAGGGUUGAGGUAGAUGAUGAUGACUACAUACCGUCAGAUCAUGAAGAUGACACUGAUGAUGUUGAGUCCUUUGAAAGUGUUGACGAUGAGAAGUUGACAGAGCAGCUGAUUGAUUGCAACUCCUAUGACCAAUCAAAAGGAAUAGCUAGCUACAAGGACUAUAAUGCAUUCCCCAUCCAUAAUGAUCAACAUCAUGGAGUUUCUUAAGAAGCAAGGUUUCAAAUGACAAUUUAGAGGAGGAGGUAUCACAUGAACUCGUACAUCACCUUUUCGGUAAGUCUCAUUUGUUUUAUCUUUUUAUUUUUCUCAUGUUGGUCAGUAUAUACUAGUUAAAGUACAGCAAUUUGACUACUUAUUAACUAUGAUGUAACAAGUUUGAAGAUGUAUUUAAUGAAAAUAGAUUCAUUAUCAAAAUUCUUACUUAGCAUGACCCUAGUUAAAAUACACACUAACCAAAGUAGAGACAAGACUAUGUGUUUACUUUUUUGUGUAUUUUUGCUAGGCAGUGUUGGAGUUGCUCUAAGUUAGUGAUGUGAUUAAUAAUGAGUGUGUCUUUGAUUGAGUUUUUCACAGUAGAAGAAAUGAAGGAACAUUUAUUGAAGUCUCAGGCAGUGGGUUGGUCAAGUUUGUAUAUCACUUUAUGAUUGCUGCUGUUUUGUAUAUAUCAUUAGGAUGAUUUAGCAUAAUAAGGACUUUUAAUAGAUGGUGUCACACAUGAUGUAUAUGCAUACUGAUUGAAUUUAAAAUCUGAGAAGUGUAACAAUUUUUCAAUUGUGGAAAUAGUAUGGUUAAUGUAAAAUUUUAGUUUCCACGUUUGGCUCCAAAGUUUGUGAAACCGAAUCUGGGUGCAAAUGUGAUGCGAAAGAUAAAAGGAAUACUUACAUUUUAAUUGCAGAAAUCUAGUGCAUAAUGACUCAUUUGUACUUUCUUCAUUUGUCCUGCUUUCUAUAUGGUUGAAUGUUUUCUACAGUGUGUUAAGAAUUGGAAAAAUCAUAUCAAAUUAUAUCUCUCAAAUCCUUCUAUAGCUAUAGCAAUGUGCAAUUUGGAAGGCCAGAUGAAACUUGAAAGCAGCGAAAAUGGAAAAUACUUCGCUUAACAAAGCCACCAUAAUUAAUGUCUUCUUUUUCUAGCGAAAAAUGGAACAGUAAAGAGGAGAACAUGGCCUUCUCAGGAAUGUAACUGUCAUGAGCACGUGGCCUUUGGAAAGUGGUUUGUUAAGUUCACUGCUUUAUAAGGUUUUGUAUAUUACAUGUUUACCCCUAUGGGUAAAAUGCCAAAGUCAUCAAAUAGUAUGGUUUUUUGGUCAACAAAACUAACAUGACACAACUUCCAGAAAAUGUGGACACCAAGUUGAGGCUUCCCAUUAUAUAUUAGUAUAGAUUGAUCCAUUUGAAGGUUUUUCCCUAUACUCAACCUAGUGAAGCCACAUUUCAACCACUUUGUCCUGGCUAAAGAAGUCUUUUCUUGAGAUCAUGUCCUUUCUCACAACUUAUAUUCAUAUCUGUUGGUCUAUCUCUUGUUCUUAAGGCUUCAACUUCGCCCUCUUAGUGGUGCUGUCCUUGUUAUUUGACACAAACAUUCAAUUCGUGUUAGCCAACCAAUCAUAUAUUGUCUUCAUUGUGCUCAAUUGGACUAUAUAAGAAGCAAAGGAGGAAUAUUUAGCAAACUUUAUUUUUAGCUGGUGCUAGCUUGAGUUGCGUACCAAAGCACUCGUAUUUUCAUAUUCUUUUCAUAUUUUUUUAGUUUUUCUCCAUUUCUUUUUAGCUCAUCAAAAUUAUGACUAUCCUUGUUACAUGAUUCUAUGAAUUUUUAAUAAUACAGUCUUAUGUUGUAAUUCUUUCAGUUCGACUGAAAGUAGGCAAAUAUCCAGAUAUAGGAAACUAGUUCAAAGAAGAGUUUUUUGGAUUUUAAAUUAUAUGAUUUUGAAUCAGUAUUUCAAAUAUCUCUAGAAUUCUAAACCCUUUAAUCCAAACACACUCUUAGCUUAUUAGAGUGGUUUGUGACUGCAUACGCCCCAGGAAAAAGUUUUCUUUGGGCCUCAUAGAUGUGCUCUUAAAGCUGUCAUGGCUUCUGCUGCUUCCACUCAAAACUUAAUGUAUGCUGCUUGUGAAUUGCCUCUUGCUGACAAAAAGAAAAUAUUUGUGCAAAUCUGUAAGCCAUUUUACUUGUUCUUGCAGAUUGGAUUACUCUGUGCAUACGUUAUCAAAAAGUUGUACUUUGGCAGAUUGGUUUUUGAUGACAUUUGGAAGUAUACUUGCAAAUGAAGAUCAACUGUUGAAUUUUGUUUCCUGAACUAAUACUUAAUUGUAGUUGUAAAUCAAGAUUGAGUGUUGAUUUUUUGUGUGGAUUCCACGUUAGUUCAUUUUGCGAUUUGCUUUGAUGAUUUUUUUGUUAUACUUAAUGGUUUAUAUUAUUAAAGUUGUUUGAUGGAUAUAUUUUGAUUUAUAAUAUAAAUUGUUUACUGAA
Camellia sinensis is the source of this 5881-nucleotide non-coding RNA. Lineage: Eukaryota; Viridiplantae; Streptophyta; Magnoliopsida; Ericales; Theaceae. The record is from RefSeq and is a predicted model, not a curated record.